UGUUUUAUCACAUGAACCUUCGAUGACGAUGACGAUGUGAUGAUGACGUAUGAAGGCCCGAGCGAGACGAAGAAGUAAGUUGCCUGAUUUCUUUCCAGAAUAAGCGAAGGACUUCAGGCUAAGCUGGGAGUGAGAUUGGACUGGUGCUGAUGGGGGAGAGUUUCAAAUGAUGUAAAUUAAAUUACUAUUUUGCCUCUAUGAUAAUAGAGUCUUGAUGUUUGAAUUACUUAGUUUCUUUUGAGAUCAAGCAAUACACUCACGGUUAUGUGUCUUCAUACAUAUAAUCGGUUCGCCUUUUGCUGCGAUACUCUGCAAAUUAUGCUUCCUUAUGAAAAAUGAACUAUACGCGUUUUGUUUU
Salvia miltiorrhiza (redroot sage) is the source of this 358-nucleotide long non-coding RNA. RefSeq lists it as uncharacterized. NCBI's taxonomy places the organism in Eukaryota, Viridiplantae, Streptophyta, Magnoliopsida, Lamiales, Lamiaceae. The transcript is spliced from 2 exons. The record is from RefSeq and is a predicted model, not a curated record.